GGGCAUCCUACCAUCUAUAUCAUAUGGUGGGGGGAAGAAUUGUAAGUAACAAAUUGAAGCCACAGUCAGUCCUAGGAGACCUCCAGCAAAUACAUCUUGCCAAUGGUGCCAGUAAUCAUCAACCCGGGAAACUGCGACUAAUGCCGCCAUCAGUAAGGGCAGGAAAACAAGGCAGAGCUUAGCAACAUGGCCUCUUUGAUCAAACACCUUGAUUUUCCCUGACAGGUACCAAGCGAGGAAGCCAAGACCAGCAAAAGACCAAGAACUAUGUCCGCUUGGGAAACUC
Molecule: unclassified non-coding RNA, 286 nt
Filed under: Hevea brasiliensis (rubber tree)
Lineage: Eukaryota; Viridiplantae; Streptophyta; Magnoliopsida; Malpighiales; Euphorbiaceae
Source: RNAcentral